AGAGUUUGAUCCUGGCUCAGAAUCAACGCUGGCGGCGUGCCUAACACAUGCAAGUCGAACGAGAAAGUCCGCAAGGAUGAGUAAAGUGGCGACCGGGUGAGUAACACGUAGCUAACCUGCCCUUGAGUGGGGGAUAACCUGGGGAAACCCGGGCUAAUACCGCAUAACAUCCCGAUGUCGAUGAUAUUGGGAGCAAAGGC
RNAcentral lists this ribosomal RNA (200 nucleotides) under uncultured bacterium. RNAcentral's name for it is "partial 16S ribosomal RNA". It matches the Rfam family "Bacterial small subunit ribosomal RNA", at positions 8 to 208 of the family's 1533-position model. The record is from RNAcentral.